This 1961-nucleotide long non-coding RNA is filed under the name Homo sapiens (human). RNAcentral's name for it is "HSALNT0397313". The record is from RNAcentral. Lineage: Eukaryota; Metazoa; Chordata; Mammalia; Primates; Hominidae.
GGAAAACUGGUUCUAGGAACCAAGGGCAUGAGGCCCAAUCUCUAGGUUAAGCUGGGUUAAGUUCAUUAGGCAUAACGUUAGAAAAAAAUUAGUUUUUUGUCUGACACCUUUUCCAGUGGGAGAAGCUGGAUUGAAAAGUUUUCAACUUGGCUGUGUAAUCCAGCAUCAGGAAAACUGCUGCCCUCUUCAACCCAUGUACAUUUUAAUCUCCCCUAUCCUGGAUUCUGCUGAACAGAUCAGCCCUAAUCCUACACAGGCACAGUGCAGUCAGGGAUGGUGAUAUCACAGGGUUGAAGACAAGAAAGACAGAUGUGUGCCUGCACCCAGUUGCUAGAGCGUGGAGGCAAUAAUGAUGGAACAGAAGGCAAGAGGCUGUCAUCGUUCACAUCACAAGGACCAGAGACACCUUUCCUGGGAAGAGAGCUGACAACCUUCUGUGGUAAGGGGUGAACAUCCUUGGGAAGCCACAGAGAGCAAGGCGCAGUUUUUCAUUGAUCACCACUUUCAAGAUGCUCCCAGAAUCGUGCUGUCUAGGAAGCCAUUUAAACUGGUGAGAAGCCAUCCUCUCUUGAAUGGGGGCUCCCACUGUACAUCUGGCACCCACUUCACAGAUUCUGGGGGAUGUCAACACCAGCACUGCUGAGCUGUGUGACCUUGAGCAAGACAGUUAGCCUCUCUGAACCUCAGUGUCCUUCUCUGUAGGCUGGAGAUUGAUAUACCUUCAUUAUCGGGGGUGGGAUGGUGGAACACGCUGACUGGUCUGGGCUAUUCAAGAUCCAUGAACUGGAAGAUGCUUUCUUAUAACUCAGAGAAAAGAGAUGAAAAUGAAUCAAAGAACAGGAAGGAGACAAGCUCAGGAGAGUCACCCUAAGAAGGAUGUGUGGAAGACUUGACUGGAGGAUCAAAAUGUGUCGGGGGAAGGUGUACAAGGAGGAGUAAGGACACAGAUGUCCUGACUUCACACAGUGGGGGAUUAGAAGCCACCAUCAAACACAGAUGAAACAGGAAUAAAAGUAGUAGUACAUUACUUAAGCUUUAAAAGGGUAAGACUCCUGGGAAUUUGGAAGCUGAGACUUGAGGCAAGUAUUUAGGAUUUGCUGUCUCACCUCCCUGCUAUGACAGUCCUUAAUUAAUGGAGAUGAUGGAGAACAGCUUGCUGGGCUGAGUGGCAGGAGCCAUGCAGCUGCUGGGGCUGGAGUGGGUCAGGAAGCUUCAUCAAUCUGGGACACAUGACGUGCUUGGUGGUGGCGGAGCCUGACGCAUCCCUCUUCAUCGACAUUGUGUCAAUAGGAGCAGAGGCAUUUAGCUGUGUAAACACAGAGCUUCAGUGGCAGCACCCUAAAUGCUUAGCUGAUAGAUCCGGAAUUAAAUACAGACCUAGAAACUGGAGUUGGAAAACUUCCUGGCAGCACUCCUUCCCUGCCAUCCCGGUGAUCCCCUUCUGGAUGGAGGGUGUGGAGCUCAGCACAUUCACGUCUGCAGUUCUCAGAGAACCAAGUGUUAAGGAAUGUCAGGGAAGGAAGAAGGCAGCCAGCCAGGAAGGGGAGGUCCUGGCCUGAGCACGCCAGGCACAGAGGGAUAGAGGGUAGGGAGGAAACUGCACCUGUCUCCAACCCUCGACCCCAGCCCCGAAACACGACAUUGGCUGAAACAGAUUAAAAGCAUAAAAUGGCCCAAAGAAAUGGGAGAAGGUUGGCCUCUGGUCGGGCAAACAUGAGGGCAUGAAGAUAUAUAAUGUCCCACACGGGAGGAAACCCUUGCCGGGCCCCUCAGGAUUUAUAACAAGCUCACCUGAAGGAGAAACUUCAGGGGCACUUACACCAUCAGAUACCUAGAAAGGAGCUGUCAUUUCCUCACUGAAGAGUUUGCAAGCAGAUGGUAAAAGGGGUUUAAUUUGAAAACACUGAAACAUCGUGUUCGCUCAAAACCAUGACAAUUGCAGUUUUAUUGUCUCCACUCAG